This 253-nucleotide ribosomal RNA is filed under the name uncultured bacterium. Its description in RNAcentral is "partial 16S ribosomal RNA". It matches the Rfam family "Bacterial small subunit ribosomal RNA", at positions 524 to 776 of the family's 1533-position model. The record is from RNAcentral.
UACAGAGGUCCCAAGCGUUGUUCGGAUUCACUGGGCGUAAAGGGUGCGCAGGUGGUCGGGUAAGUCUGAUGUGAAAUCCCGCAGCUUAACUGCGGAAUGGCAUUGGAUACUAUUCGGCUAGAGGGUUGGAGGGGGGACUGGAAUUCUCGGUGUAGCAGUGAAAUGCGUAGAUAUCGAGAGGAACACCAGUGGCGAAGGCGGCUCACUGGUCCGGUACUGACGCUGAGGUGCGAAAGCGUGGGGAGCAAACAGG